Molecule: long non-coding RNA, 1088 nt
Organism: Rosa rugosa (rugosa rose)
Lineage: Eukaryota; Viridiplantae; Streptophyta; Magnoliopsida; Rosales; Rosaceae
Exons: 9
Source: RefSeq, a predicted model, not a curated record
AUAAAAACUAAUGCCAACAGAGGGCAAAAGAGUAACGUCUGGAUCAGUUUCAGCUUUCUCCUAAUAUCAAAAACUGAUUUGCAGUUUCCUCUCCCACGUUUUCUAAUCCGUGCAAAAGAGUUCUCCUCUUUCCUAUGGAAUCACCGCUCACGAUCAUAUACUUCAAUUGAAAAAGAAGUUCACCGGCCAACAGAAUACUUAAAAGAAUUUUUUGGCUUGCUGUUUUAAUGGGUGAUGCUGCUUCGUAUGCAGAGAAGAAUUUGUCUUUUAACACAGAAGCAAAACCAGAGAGCAAUUCAAUUUCAUUGGUUCCCCAGACUAAAUUUCAAAGCUCAAAGGUCAAGGGAAGUGCAUGAUCAAGACAUAGGAGAAGUCGGUUAGAGAGGGGGCUAGAUUUGCAGAAGCUGUACAGAAGUUGGGAAGAUAAUCUGGGCGUUGGUUUUAUUGCAUUGAAGGUAAAAGUGCAUGUAUAUACAGCAGGGACUGACACCAAACCUUCACAAAUAGCUAGGCAAGGUUUAGAGGAGGCCAAAAAGAAGAACAUAGAUCUAGUAAUAAUGGAUACUGCUGGAAGGCUUCAGAUAGACAAAGUACUGAUGGAUGAGUUGAAAGAAGUAAAGCGGGAAAUGAACCCCACAGAAGCUUUACUCAUUGUGGAUGCAAUGACUGGCCAGGAAGCUGCAGCCCUGGUCACAACAUUCAAUGUAGAGAUUGGGAUUACUGGCGCUAUUUUAACAAAGCUGGAUGGAGAUUCUAGAGAUGGAGCAACUUUGAGUGUUAAAGAGGUGUCAAGCAAGGACAGCAGCUGCAGUCAAAGUUCCAGAGUUUCAAUUUGAGGUGAGAAGGAAUUAUAGAGACCACAUUCCUUCAAGAAGAAGUCAAUGAACUCCAUGAUGGGAAGAAUUCGUUAGCGAUAAGUAUCUUUAGAGUUUUACAAUGUGGAUCUUCAUCAAUUCUAUGGUUUAACUCUGUACCUAGUGAAACUUCUUUGUAGCAAAAUUUACCUUUUCCAUUGCAAGUAGACUUUGACUUUUGCAAUGUGGAUCUUCAGUUCUAUACUCUAUUAAUAUAUUGCAAUUUCAUUUCAA